GACGAACGCUGGCGGCGUGCCUAAUACAUGCAAGUCGAGCGAAGAAGCGAGGUGCUUGCUCCACUUUCAAUAGCAGCGAACGGGUGAGUAACGCGUGGGUAAUCUGCCUAUAAGCGGGGGAUAACUUCGGGAAACGGAUGCUAAUACCGCAUAACAUCUUUAAACAUAUGUUUCAAUUGUGAAAGACGCAAUUGCUGUACUCAAUCGUGAUCUCGCGUGGUAUUAGCUAGUUGGUUAGGUAAAGGCUCUCCAAGGCGAUGAUGCGUUGCCGACCUGAGAGGUGGUUCGCCCACAUGGGACUGGGGCACGGGCCAAACCCCCUAGGGGAGGCACCAGAAGGAAACUUUGGGCAAGGGCGGAAAGCUUGCCGAAGAAACCCGGCGUGGUGGAUGAAGGUCUCGGGAUCGUAAAACUCGUUUAUUGGGGAGAAACAAAGGUGGAAGGGACUAUGCACGUAGUGACGGUACCUAAUCAGAAAGCGACGGCUAACUACGUG
Molecule: ribosomal RNA, 496 nt
Filed under: uncultured bacterium
Lineage: Bacteria
Description: partial 16S ribosomal RNA
Rfam family: Bacterial small subunit ribosomal RNA
Source: RNAcentral